UACGUAGGGUGCGAGCGUUAAUCGGAAUUACUGGGCGUAAAGCGUGCGCAGGCUGUUUUGUAAGUCAGAUGUGAAAUCCCUGGGCUCAACCUAGGAACUGCGUUUGAAACUACAAGGCUAGAGUGUAGCAGAGGGGGGUAGAAUUCCACGUGUAGCAGUGAAAUGCGUAGAGAUGUGGAGGAAUACCAAUGGCGAAGGCAGCCCCCUGGGUUAACACUGACGCUCAUGCACGAAAGUGUGGGGAGCAAACAGGAUUAGAAACCCCGGUAGUCC
RNAcentral lists this ribosomal RNA (273 nucleotides) under uncultured Methylophilaceae bacterium. RNAcentral's name for it is "partial 16S ribosomal RNA". It matches the Rfam family "Bacterial small subunit ribosomal RNA", at positions 524 to 796 of the family's 1533-position model. Lineage: Bacteria; Pseudomonadati; Pseudomonadota; Betaproteobacteria; Nitrosomonadales; Methylophilaceae. The record is from RNAcentral.